CACGGAGGAUGCGAGCGUUAUCCGGAUUUAUUGGGUUUAAAGGGUGCGUAGGCGGAUCGUUAAGUCAGUGGUCAAAUUGAGGGGCUCAACCCCUUCCCGCCAUUGAAACUGGCGAUCUUGAGUGGAAGAGAAGUAUGCGGAAUGCGUGGUGUAGCGGUGAAAUGCAUAGAUAUCACGCAGAACCCCGAUUGCGAAGGCAGCAUGCCGGCUUCCUACUGACGCUGAAGCACGAAAGCGUGGGGAUCGAACAGG
This 252-nucleotide ribosomal RNA is filed under the name uncultured bacterium. RNAcentral's name for it is "partial 16S ribosomal RNA". It matches the Rfam family "Bacterial small subunit ribosomal RNA", at positions 524 to 776 of the family's 1533-position model. The record is from RNAcentral.